This 464-nucleotide ribosomal RNA is filed under the name Vreelandella stevensii. Its description in RNAcentral is "partial 16S ribosomal RNA". It matches the Rfam family "Bacterial small subunit ribosomal RNA", at positions 338 to 795 of the family's 1533-position model. The record is from RNAcentral. Lineage: Bacteria; Pseudomonadati; Pseudomonadota; Gammaproteobacteria; Oceanospirillales; Halomonadaceae.
CCUACGGGCGGCAGCAGUGGGGAAUAUUGGACAAUGGGCGAAAGCCUGAUCCAGCCAUGCCGCGUGUGUGAAGAAGGCCUUCGGGUUGUAAAGCACUUUCAGUGGGGAAGAAAGCCUUGGGGCUAAUACCCUCGAGGAAGGACAUCACCCACAGAAGAAGCACCGGCUAACUCCGUGCCAGCAGCCGCGGUAAUACGGAGGGUGCGAGCGUUAAUCGGAAUUACUGGGCGUAAAGCGCGCGUAGGCGGUCUGAUAAGCCGGUUGUGAAAGCCCCGGGCUCAACCUGGGAACGGCAUCCGGAACUGUCAGGCUAGAGUGCAGGAGAGGAAGGUAGAAUUCCCGGUGUAGCGGUGAAAUGCGUAGAGAUCGGGAGGAAUACCAGUGGCGAAGGCGGCCUUCUGGACUGACACUGACGCUGAGGUGCGAAAGCGUGGGUAGCAAACAGGAUUAGAUACCCAGUCGUC